Molecule: ribosomal RNA, 405 nt
Filed under: uncultured bacterium
Lineage: Bacteria
Description: partial 16S ribosomal RNA
Rfam family: Bacterial small subunit ribosomal RNA
Source: RNAcentral
AUUGAACGCUAGCGGGAUGCUUUACACAUGCAAGUCGAACGAGUGGCGGAAGGGUGAGUAAUAUAUCGGCACGUGCCCAGUAGCGGGGGAUAACUAACCGAAAGAGAGGCUACUACCGCCUACUAUUGGAGCGGCCGGUAUCGGAUUAGCUAGUUGGUGGGGUAAAGGCUCACAAAGGCAACGAUCCGUAGCUGGUUUGAGAGGAAGACCAGCCACACUGGGACUGAGACACGGCCCAGACUCCUACGGGAGGCAGCAGUGGGGAAUUUUGGACAAUGGGGGAAACCCUGAUCCAGCCAUCCCGCGUGUAUGAGAAGGCCUUCGGGUUGUAAAGUACUUUUGGCAGGGAAGCGGUACCUGCAGAAUAAGCACCGGCUAACUACGUGCCAGCAGCCGCGGUAAUUC